This is a long non-coding RNA of Mercenaria mercenaria, 530 nucleotides long. RefSeq lists it as uncharacterized. The transcript is spliced from 2 exons. The record is from RefSeq and is a predicted model, not a curated record. NCBI's taxonomy places the organism in Eukaryota, Metazoa, Mollusca, Bivalvia, Venerida, Veneridae.
UCUAAAAUCAGGUCUAAACUCAAAUCUAAAAGUAAACUUUAAGUAAGGUCUCAACUCAGAUCUAAAACUUAAACUUUAAGUGAGGUAUAAAGUUUCUCAUCUUUCUGCACUAAGCACUAAAGUUAGGUGUAAACGCUUCGGUUGGCCGCAGCAGGGGUAAAUGGCUGGUGGGAAACGCGCGCGACCGUCUUACGUACGUACGUACUCGUGCGCGAUAAGCCUUCAUCUUUCUGCCCUGAGCACUAAAAUUAGGUGUCAACUCAGCUGUCUGCACUAAGCACUAAAGUUAGGUAUAAACUCAAAUCCUCACCUAAACUUAAAUUAGGUAUAAACUCAAAUCUAAAAUUAGGUCUAAACUCAAAUCUAAAAGUAAACCUUAAGUAAGGUCUCAACUCAGAUCUAAAACUUAAACUUUAAGUGAGGUAUAAAGUUUCUCAUCUUUCUGCACUAAGCACUAAAGUUAAGUGUAAACGCUUCGGUUGGCCGCAGCAGGGGUAAAUGGCUGGUGGGAAACGCGCACGUCCGUCCUA